This 372-nucleotide ribosomal RNA is filed under the name Rhizophagus intraradices. Its description in RNAcentral is "LSU rRNA". The record is from RNAcentral. Lineage: Eukaryota; Fungi; Glomeromycota; Glomeromycetes; Glomerales; Glomeraceae. RNAcentral also lists the same sequence under 1 other name.
UUGAAAGGGAAACGAUUGAAGUCAGUCGUACCUGCGGGUAAUCAGCCUUUUGGGCAUGAUUCUGUGGAGCGUGAGGAGUUAAACGCCUUCAUGCCUGCAUAUUCGUGUACUUUGGGUGUACUUGCCUGUGUGGUUAGUUAACAUCAAUUUUGGUUAUCAUAAAAUGGUUGGAGGAAUGUAGCUUCGAUUUCGAUUGAAGUGUUAUAGCCUUCGGCAGAUGUGAUGAUCGGGAUUGAGGAUUGCAACGGAUACCCUUCGGGGCUACCUGUCUGGUCUCUGAUCGUUGCUCUGGUGCCGAAAGCGUGCUUACGGUUAUCAAAGUCGAUGGUCAAUAGGUUAGAACGGGUUAAAUUCGUUAAGGAUGUUGACGUA